RNAcentral lists this unclassified non-coding RNA (1475 nucleotides) under uncultured Sporidiobolales. RNAcentral's name for it is "sequence contains 18S rRNA gene, ITS1, 5.8S rRNA gene, ITS2, 28S rRNA gene". The stretch from base 535 to 1475 matches the Rfam family "Eukaryotic large subunit ribosomal RNA", at positions 1 to 961 of the family's 3401-position model. The record is from RNAcentral. Lineage: Eukaryota; Fungi; Basidiomycota; Microbotryomycetes; Sporidiobolales.
GGAAGGAUCAUUAGUGAAUAUUAGGACGUUCAAUUUAACUUGAAGUCCGAACUCUCACUUUCUAACCCUGUGCAUUUGUUUUGGUUAGUAGGAUGCUUCGGUGUCUGAACGCCUCUUCAUUUACAAACACAAAGUCUAUGAAUGUUUAAAUUUUAUAACAAAACAAAACUUUCAACAACGGAUCUCUUGGCUCUCGCAUCGAUGAAGAACGCAGCGAAAUGCGAUAAGUAAUGUGAAUUGCAGAAUUCAGUGAAUCAUCGAAUCUUUGAACGCACCUUGCGCUCCUUGGUAUUCCGAGGAGCAUGUCUGUUUGAGUGUCAUGAAUUCUUCAACCCUCUCUUUUCUUAGUGAUUAGAGAGGAGCUUGGAUUCUGAGUGUUGCUCCUUACCCGAGCUCAUUCGUAAUAUAUUAGCAUCCAUAUUCGAACUUUCGGAUUGACUUGGCGUAAUAGACUAUUCGCUGAGGAAUCUAACUUCGGUUAGAGCCGGGUUUGAACUAGGAAGCUCCUAAUCUAGCUUAGUCUACUUUUAGAUUAGAUCUCAAAUCAGGUAGGACUACCCGCUGAACUUAAGCAUAUCAAUAAGCGGAGGAAAAGAAACUAACAAGGAUUCCCCUAGUAGCGGCGAGCGAAGCGGGAAGAGCUCAAAUUUGUAAUCUGGCGCUUUCGGCGUCCGAGUUGUAAUCUCUAGAAGUGUUUUCCGCGUUGGACCGCACACAAGUCUGUUGGAAUACAGCGGCACAGUGGUGAGACCCCCGUUCACGGUGCGGAUGCCCAAUGCUUUGUGAUACACUUUCGAAGAGUCGAGUUGUUUGGGAAUGCAGCUCAAAUUGGGUGGUAAAUUCCAUCUAAAGCUAAAUAUUGGCGAGAGACCGAUAGCGAACAAGUACCGUGAGGGAAAGAUGAAAAGCACUUUGGAAAGAGAGUUAACAGUACGUGAAAUUGUUGGAAGGGAAACGCUUGAAGUCAGACUUGCUAUUCGGGUUUACUCGAGUUGCAGGCCAGCAUCAGUUUUCCGGGGUGGAAAAUCACGGUUUGAAGGUAGCAGCUUCGGCUGUGUUAUAGCUUUCCGUUGGAUACAUCCUGGGGGACUGAGGAACGCAGUGUGCUUUUAGCAGGAGCUUCGGCUUCAUCACACUUAGGAUGCUGGUGGAAUGGCUUUAAACGACCCGUCUUGAAACACGGACCAAGGAGUCUAACAUGCUUGCGAGUAUUUGGGUGUCAAACCCGGAUGCGUAAUGAAAGUGAAUGGAGGUGGGAACCGCAAGGUGCACCAUCGACCGAUCUGGAUUUUUUAAGAUGGAUUUGAGUAAGAGCGUAGCUGUUGGGACCCGAAAGAUGGUGAACUAUGCCUGAAUAGGGCGAAGCCAGAGGAAACUCUGGUGGAGGCUCGCAGCGGUUCUGACGUGCAAAUCGAUCGUCAAAUUUGGGUAUAGGGGCGAAAGACUAAUCGAACCAUCUAGUAGCUGGUUCCUGC